RNAcentral lists this ribosomal RNA (90 nucleotides) under Escherichia coli. Its description in RNAcentral is "partial 16S ribosomal RNA". The stretch from base 1 to 78 matches the Rfam family "Bacterial small subunit ribosomal RNA", at positions 1456 to 1533 of the family's 1533-position model. The record is from RNAcentral. Lineage: Bacteria; Pseudomonadati; Pseudomonadota; Gammaproteobacteria; Enterobacterales; Enterobacteriaceae.
ACCACGUUGUGAUUCAUGACUGGGGUGAAGUCGUAACAAGGUAACCGUAGGGGAACCUGCGGUUGGAUCACCUCCUUACCUUAAAGAAGC